GAUGAAGAACGUAGCGAAAUGCGAUAAGUAAUGUGAAUUGCAGAAUUCAGUGAAUCAUCGAAUCUUUGAACGCACCUUGCACCCUUUGGAAUUCCAAAGGGUAUGCUCGUUUGAGUGUCAUUGUACUCUCACACUCUCCGAUCCUUUGGAUUUGGGGAGCGGUGGACUUGGGUGUUUGCUGCUUUCAUUGUGGCUCACCUCAAAUGUGUCAGUGCAUCUCUUGAUUGGACAUAGUACGGCGUGUUAUGUGUCUUCGCCGGCACCUCAUAAGAGGGUGGCCGAUCAGGAGCUCUGUGCUUUCAAACUGUCUUCGGACAAUCUCUGACAACUUGACCUCAAAUCGAGUAGGACUACCCGCUGAACUUAAGCAUAUCAAUAAGCGGAGGA
Molecule: unclassified non-coding RNA, 387 nt
Filed under: soil metagenome
Description: partial contains 5.8S ribosomal RNA, internal transcribed spacer 2, and large subunit ribosomal RNA
Rfam family: 5.8S ribosomal RNA (bases 1-120)
Source: RNAcentral